CUCUUGGAAUACAUGUGAGACAACAUGGAUUUUGCUACGGUGAAAAAGUGAAUUUUAGAGUCAGAUGUCUGCUAUGUGCAUUUAGUCAACCUGCAAAUCAUAAACAAUACUUUUGUCAUCUUAACACUCAUUUAAAAAACAAGGAAACUGUCACCUGCCCAUUUAAUGGUUGUAAUUUUAAGUCAAAAGUUUAUUCCAGUUUUACCUCUCACAGAAGUCGAUAUCAUGCCUUGGAUUUUUUACAAAAUUUUAAAGCAGAGCUUCUUUAUGGCCCACCACAUGGUGAAAACUCUGAUCCCCUAUUAGACACUGGUGGGUAUUCUUCUAAUAACACUGAGUCAGCUGUUCGUGAUAGUUUUGAUUUUCAGUCUGAUGAUGAUGAGGAUGCUGCUGAUGAUGAAGAAGAGCGAGGUAGCAUUGGUGACAAAAUUAGGAAUAGACUUGCAUCUUUGCUUCUACGAAUGCAAGCCAUCUUGCAUGUAUCUAAAUCAGCUACCCAGGAAAUAAUCAAUGAACUUCACGAAAUUGGAAUUUUAGCAGGUGACCUGUCGAAAAAAACUGCAGAAAACAUUUUUACAGAGCUCAGUUGUAAUAUAGAUGAGGCCACACUAAAGUUGUUAAAGGAAAGCUUACAGGAAACCAAUCCUUUUAGUUGUCUGUCACAGAGUGGACCACUGGGAACUGAAUACAAAAGACAGUUGUUUUACAAGGAAAGAUUCAACAUAAUUGAGCCAACUGAGUAUGUGUUAGAUCCUUUACUUAACAAAACAUUUGUUUAUGUUCCAAUUUCAGGUGUGUUGCCAGCAUUGUUGAACAAGUGUGAUGUAAUUGACAAAGUUUUAGAGGAAACAAAUCUACCAUCGCUCUCUGCUUGGUACCUGGAACACCUCAGAUGCUAUGAAGUCUGCAAGAACCACUCUGCAAAGCUGCUUGUAGUCCAGCCAGAGGAGCUCAAUGACUACUUCCCCCUGUCAGCGUAUAUGGUGAAAGGCAGACUUCUGAUCUCUCCAAAAGGGUUUCUGCUCCAUUGAGAUUCCAGUGUACAAAAUGUUGCUAAGAAUCAUUAUAAACAAGGAUGAUAUUAGGAAGAU
Long non-coding RNA from Astyanax mexicanus (Mexican tetra), 1091 nucleotides. RefSeq lists it as uncharacterized. NCBI's taxonomy places the organism in Eukaryota, Metazoa, Chordata, Actinopteri, Characiformes, Acestrorhamphidae. The record is from RefSeq and is a predicted model, not a curated record. The transcript is spliced from 3 exons.